CUCAAGCUCAUCCCUGCCCUCAAACCUCUCCAAACUGCUGCCAAGGUCACUGGCCAAAUCCACCGUCGCCGGCCCUUUUUCUGCCACAACAGCACACCAUCAACUUUUCCGCUCAUCGGUCUGGGGUGGACAUGUGGAAGGGGCUUCGGCCAGGUUGACAUGAUCCACAACGGUGGAACCCGUGAAAGCAGCGACCGUCUAGCCUUGCUUAGGCCCAGCAAGGAGUGUGUUUGGCCUGUCGGCCCCUAA
RNAcentral lists this long non-coding RNA (249 nucleotides) under Oryza sativa Indica Group (long-grained rice). RNAcentral's name for it is "lncRNA OsZS97_03G022330". The record is from RNAcentral. Lineage: Eukaryota; Viridiplantae; Streptophyta; Magnoliopsida; Poales; Poaceae.